RNAcentral lists this ribosomal RNA (429 nucleotides) under Acidobacteriota bacterium. RNAcentral describes it as "Acidobacteria bacterium partial 16S ribosomal RNA". It matches the Rfam family "Bacterial small subunit ribosomal RNA", at positions 355 to 776 of the family's 1533-position model. The record is from RNAcentral. Lineage: Bacteria; Pseudomonadati; Acidobacteriota.
UGGGGAAUCUUCCGCAAUGGCCGAAAGUCUGACGGAGCAACGCCGCGUGAGUGAUGAAGGAUUUCGGUCUGUAAAGCUCUGUUGUUUAUGACGAACGUGCAGUGUGUGAACAAUGCAUUGCAAUGACGGUAGUAAACGAGGAAGCCACGGCUAACUACGUGCCAGCAGCCGCGGUAAUACGUAGGUGGCGAGCGUUGUCCGGAAUUAUUGGGCGUAAAGAGCAUGUAGGCGGCUUAAUAAGUCGAGCGUGAAAAUGCGGGGCUCAACCCCGUAUGGCGCUGGAAACUGUUAGGCUUGAGUGCAGGAGAGGAAAGGGGAAUUCCCAGUGUAGCGGUGAAAUGCGUAGAUAUUGGGAGGAACACCAGUGGCGAAGGCGCCUUUCUGGACUGUGUCUGACGCUGAGAUGCGAAAGCCAGGGUAGCGAACGGG